GGGUAUAUAGCUCAGUGGUAGAGUGCCUGCCUAGCAUGCAUGAAGUCCUGGGUUCAAUCCCCAAUACCUCCA
This 72-nucleotide transfer RNA is filed under the name Camelus bactrianus (Bactrian camel). It matches the Rfam family "tRNA". Rfam says of the family: Transfer RNA (tRNA) molecules are approximately 80 nucleotides in length. Their secondary structure includes four short double-helical elements and three loops (D, anti-codon, and T loops). The record is from Rfam by way of RNAcentral. RNAcentral also lists the same sequence under 2 other names. Lineage: Eukaryota; Metazoa; Chordata; Mammalia; Artiodactyla; Camelidae.